This 195-nucleotide ribosomal RNA is filed under the name uncultured bacterium. RNAcentral's name for it is "partial 16S ribosomal RNA". It matches the Rfam family "Bacterial small subunit ribosomal RNA", at positions 1306 to 1500 of the family's 1533-position model. The record is from RNAcentral.
UGCAACUCGCCUGCAUGAAGUCGGAAUUGCUAGUAAUCGCAGAUCAGCAUGCUGCGGUGAAUACGUUCCCGGGCCUUGUACACACCGCCCGUCACACCAUGGGAGUCGGUAACACCCGAAGUCGGUAGCCUAACCGUAAGGAGGGCACCGCCGAAGGUGGGAUUGAUGACUGGGGUGAAGUCGUAACAAGGUAUC